CCUACGGGUGGCAGCAGUGGGGAAUAUUGGACAAUGGGGGAAACCCUGAUCCAGCGACGCCGCGUGAGUGAAGAAGGACUUCGGUACGUAAAGUUCUAUCAGCAGGAAAGAAAAUGACGGUACUUGACCAAUUACCCCUGGCGAAUUACGUGCCAGCAGCCGCGGUAACACGUAGGGGGCAAGGGUUAUCCGGAGUUACUGGGUGGAAAGGGAGCGGAGACGGCAGCGCAAGUCUGGAGUGAAAUGCCGGGGCCCAACCCCGGAACUGAUCUGGAAACUGUGAAGAUGGAGUGCAGGAGAGGUGAGCAGAAUUCCAGGUGUAGCGGUGAAAUGCGUAGAUAUCAGGAGGAACACCGGCGGCGAAGGCGGCUUACUGGAC
RNAcentral lists this ribosomal RNA (379 nucleotides) under uncultured bacterium. RNAcentral describes it as "partial 16S ribosomal RNA". It matches the Rfam family "Bacterial small subunit ribosomal RNA", at positions 338 to 734 of the family's 1533-position model. The record is from RNAcentral.